UCACUCUCUCUCACUUCAGCUAUCUUCCAAACACCACAGCCGAGAAAACUCUUCUCUGAAAUCCGCCAUUAUCAAAACCAUAUUUUUUUUUGCCUUUGUUUCUGUUCUAUUCUCCCAAACUCUUCAUAACCGGAGCUCCAAAGAAAAACUGAAAAGCCAUUUUCUUCUUCAUCUCUUCAAUCCAUCUGCUAAAAGACUGUCUCUUCUCUAUCUAGUAUCAUUCCAGAUCUAAAAAAUUUGUCUGAAGAAAAUUUCUCUGAAAAUAAAUUUAUGUGAAAGCAAAUUUGUCUGAGAGAAUACUCGACCGUGUAAGUCUAUUUCACUAUAUUUUCUUAGGUUUUGGUUCCAUGUUAUGGUAGAUUGAUAUGUGCAGGAUUUGGUUUCAUCUUUUUGUUCUAAUUUCUUUAGAUUGAUAGUCUCUUUUUGUUAUAUUGCAGCUGGAAGGUUAAACCGAGAACUAUUUUAAGUGAAAAACUAAUGUAUGGUUUCAUCUUUUUGUCUUAGUUUUAUCUUUUGGGUUAAUUUUAGGUCACACUAAACUCAACAAGUUACAGAGUCUAAACAGCUUCCUUUGCCUUCCAAGUCUCAAAUUAAGACGACUAUUGGCCGGUUCUUCAUUUUGAAACUUCAAAUUCGUAAGUUAAAGGUUCAUCAUUUAAAGUUUAAACUACCACUUGUUAGUAAGUUUUUCUCUCUAUUUUGCUUCUUAUCCAAACUAAAACCUUUAAUAUCUAUAGAGAUGAUCAUGUGUAGUGUUUCUCAAAGGGAUUACCAUACGAUUAUAGAGAUGGUCAUGUGUAGUUACUUUACAUGGAUUAUUAUUCAUGGACUCGUGGUUAUGUAUAAAUUUGAAACACCUAACAGAAAUGUACAAUGCCCACACACUGUUUGAUAAAAUAACUUAAAGAAGUACCUACAAAUUGAUUAUACUUUUAGGAUUUUCAAGAGGUUUUGUUUUUUGGGUUUUGUUUAUCUACGAUCCUAGGGUAAUGUCCUCAUAAUAUGUUCUUUAUUCUUGAUGGAGUGUGCUUGUACUGUGUAAUUGAUGGAUGAUGGAUUGAAGGUAAGGUGUCAAACAUUUUUUACUGGAUAUGGAUGAAAUGCAAGUUGUUUUCUGUUAAUUCUUGACUCCAUAUUUCAUAAUACGGAAGUGGGUAGAGACUUUGGAGGAAACUUCAGUCACGAGCCUGCGUACAUUGGGCGAUCUUGGUUCCAAGAUGUAUGUGCAAGAGUUGUCCUUCAAGGUCCUGGGCCUCUCUAUGGACAUGCAAUGGACUUGGUCGGUCAAAGUUUUCUUGUUGCUGUUAGUGGCAAGAUGGUGAAUCCAAUAUGCAACAACUCUUGUCUGCGUUGUGGUUUGAGUCAUGCAGAUAAUCUUGCAGGCUUCUCUUACAGUGGCCUCAGUAAAAGCUUGCCUAGGUUGUAGAACGCUGAACAAGGAUCCAGACCAUAUGGCUUCGUUUAGUUUCGCUUACUUUUUCAUAUUGUUUUUUUUAAUAUUCUGUAUCUCUGGUUUAUAUCUAUAGUUAUCUGCAUUUGGUACUGGAUAGAUUCACUGAUACCAGUUACUACUUUUGUUGUGUAGGCUUCUGUUACACGGGCCUCAGUAAAAGCUUUCCUAGGUUGUAGAACGCUGAACAAGGAUCCGGACUCUAUGGCUUCGCUUAAUUUCGCUUACUUGUUCAUAUUAUUUUCUUCUCAGGGUAUCUGCUCUCUAUGUUACAGAGUUUCAACUUUCAACGGUUAAUGAAAUUUUAACCUUGCUUAAACACAAGAAGGGAUGCUUUACAGAGACUGAUCAUGUUCCACUAGUUGGAAGAUGGAUGGUAUCGAUGAAUCUGUACUAGAUCGUCUCUCCAUGGAUUUGUGAUGCUGUCCUCAAGCAUUGGGAACUUGUCAAUAGUUGUUUGCUGUUCUUGAAUUGUUGGCUCAGUUCGUCAUCUGGCAGGAUCUCGUUUUGCUGGUUUACAAUUAUCCUUAUGAACCUUAGAACUUAAAUAUAUGUCUUGUAUGAAUUCAGGCCUUUUGUUUGUUUUCUUUUGUGAUUCCGAAUCUAAGUGUAAACUGAAUUCAGUUAUGAAUUGUGUAACAAAAUACAACGGUUUUUAUUUAUAACCAUUUGAGUUUAUAAAUCCAAGUUUUA
This is a long non-coding RNA of Papaver somniferum (opium poppy), 2143 nucleotides long. RefSeq lists it as uncharacterized. NCBI's taxonomy places the organism in Eukaryota, Viridiplantae, Streptophyta, Magnoliopsida, Ranunculales, Papaveraceae. The transcript has 5 exons. The record is from RefSeq and is a predicted model, not a curated record.